CUUGAGAGCAUUUGUGCUCCUUUACAAGAUGUUUCUACAGUAUCUGUAAUUUUCUCCUAGACAAGUCACAUAUAAAAAAAAAAAAAUAGUCCGAUAAUAAUCCUAACCUUUUUCUGUACAAUAAAGCAUCACCACCAAGAACUGUCAAUCAGUGUCAUUUAACAGUCUGUAAUACCCACAAGCCGAAAUCCAUUAUUUACACGAUUAUUGUCCUUAGAUAAAACACCAAAUACAGUGUCACUGGUCAGAAUACAGCAG
Molecule: long non-coding RNA, 258 nt
Filed under: Mytilus galloprovincialis (Mediterranean mussel)
Lineage: Eukaryota; Metazoa; Mollusca; Bivalvia; Mytilida; Mytilidae
Source: RNAcentral